UACGUAGGGUGCGAGCGUUAAUCGGAAUUACUGGGCGUAAAGGGCGCGUAGGCGGCAUGGCAAGUCGGGCGUGAAAUCCCCGGGCUCAACCCGGGAACUGCGUCCGAUACUGGGAGGCUUGAAUCCGGGAGAGGGAUGUGGAAUUCCAGGUGUAGCGGUGAAAUGCGUAGAUAUCUGGAGGAACACCGGUGGCGAAGGCGGCAUCCUGGACCGGUAUUGACGCUGAGGCGCGAAAGCCAGGGGAGCAAACGGG
Molecule: ribosomal RNA, 253 nt
Filed under: uncultured bacterium
Lineage: Bacteria
Description: partial 16S ribosomal RNA
Rfam family: Bacterial small subunit ribosomal RNA
Source: RNAcentral